RNAcentral lists this ribosomal RNA (764 nucleotides) under Inocybe flavosquamulosa. Its description in RNAcentral is "LSU rRNA". It matches the Rfam family "Eukaryotic large subunit ribosomal RNA", at positions 98 to 835 of the family's 3401-position model. The record is from RNAcentral. Lineage: Eukaryota; Fungi; Basidiomycota; Agaricomycetes; Agaricales; Inocybaceae.
AUGGGAAAAGCUCAAAUUUGAAAUCUGGCAGUUUAUACUGUCCGAAUUGUAAUCUAGAGAAGUGCUUACCUGUGCUGGACCAUGUAUAAGUCUUCUGGAAUGAAGUAUCACAGAGGGUGAGAAUCCCGUCUUUGACAUGGACUACCUGUGCUUUAUGGUACGCUCUCAAAGAGUCGAGUUGUUUGGGAUUGCAGCUCAAAAUGGGUGGUAAAUGCCAUCUAAAGCUAAAUAUUGGCGAGAGACCGAUAGCGAACAAGUACCGUGAGGGAAAGAUGAAAAGAACUUUGGAAAGAGAGUUAAACAGUACGUGAAAUUGCUGAAAGGGAAACGCUUGAAGUCAGUCACAUUGGCUGGAAAUCAACCUUGCUUUUGCUUGGUGUACUUUCUGGUUGAUGGGUCAGCAUCAAUUUUGACUGCUGGAUAAAGUCUUUGGGAAUGUGGCAUCUUCAGAUGUGUUAUAGCCCAUUGUCGCAUACAGUAGUUGGGAUUGAGGAACUCAGCAUGCCUUUUAUUAGGUUGGGUUUUUUAUAACCACACUUCAUGCUUAGGAUGCUGGCAUAAUGGCUUUAAUCGACCCGUCUUGAAACACGGACCAAGGAGUCUAACAUGCAUGCAAGUGUUUUGAGUGGUAAACUCAUGCGCGUAAUGAAAGUGAAAAGUUGAGAUCCCUUCAAAAGAGGAGAGCAUUGACGCCCACACCAGAUCUUUUGUGACGGAUCUGCGGUAGAGCAUGUGUGUUGGGACCCGAAAGAUGGUGAACUAUG